RNAcentral lists this ribosomal RNA (1507 nucleotides) under uncultured Aquicella sp. Its description in RNAcentral is "bacterial SSU rRNA". It matches the Rfam family "Bacterial small subunit ribosomal RNA". Lineage: Bacteria; Pseudomonadati; Pseudomonadota; Gammaproteobacteria; Legionellales; Coxiellaceae. The record is from RNAcentral.
AGAGUUUGAUCCUGGCUCAGAUUGAACGCUGGCGGCAUGCCUAACACAUGCAAGUCGAACGGCAGCACAUUAGGUAGUAAUACCUAUGGGUGGCGAGUGGCGGACGGGUGAGUAAUACGUAGGAAUCUGCCUUAUGGUUUGGGAUAACUUGGGGAAACUCGAGCUAAUACCAAAUAAGCUCUACGGAGGAAAGGAUGGGACUAGAAAUAGCCAUUCGCGAUAAGAUGAUCCUACGUCGGAUUAGCUAGUUGGUGGGGUAAAGGCCUACCAAGGCAAGGAUCCGUAGCUGGUCUGAGAGGAUGGACAGCCACACUGGGACUGAGACACGGCCCAGACUCCUACGGGAGGCAGCAGUGGGAAUAUUGGACAAUGGGGGCAACCCUGAUCCAGCGAUGCCGCGUGUGCGAAGAAGGCCUGCGGGUUGUAAAGCACUUUGGUUGGGGAAGAAAUACUUGUGUUUAAGAGAUGCAAGGGAUGACGUUACCCAAAGAACAAGCACCGGCUAACUCUGUGCCAGCAGCCGCGGUAAUACAGAGGGUGCGAGCGUUAAUCGGAAUUACUGGGCGUAAAGGGCGCGUAGGCGGCGAUUUAAGUUAGAUGUGAAAUCCCUGGGCUUAACCUAGGACUUGCAUUUAAGACUGAGUUGCUAGAGUAAUGUAGAGGGAAGUGGAAUUUCCGGUGUAGCGGUGAAAUGCGUAGAUAUCGGAAAGAACAUCAGUGGCGAAGGCGGCUUCCUGGACAUAUACUGACGCUGAGGCGCGAAAGCAUGGGUAGCAAACAGGAUUAGAUACCCUGGUAGUCCAUGCUGUAAACGAUGAUAACUAGAUGCUGGCAGGUAAAACCUGUAAGUAUCGAAGCAAACGCGAUAAGUUAUCCGCCUGGGGAGUACGGCCGCAAGGCUAAAACUCAAAGGAAUUGACGGGGGCCCGCACAAGCGGUGGAGCAUGUGGUUUAAUUCGAUGCAACGCGAAGAACCUUACCUACCCUUGACAUCCUGGGAAUCUUAUAGAGAUAUGAGAGUGCCGAAAGGAACCCAGAGACAGGUGCCGCAUGGCUGUCGUCAGCUCGUGUCGUGAGAUGUUGGGUUAAGUCCCGUAACGAGCGCAACCCUUGUCCUUAGUUGCCAGCACGUAAAGGUGGGAACUCUAAGGAGACUGCCGGUGAUAAACCGGAGGAAGGUGGGGAUGAGGUCAAGUCAUCAUGGCCUUUAUGGGUAGGGCCACACACGUGCUACAAUGGUUGUUACAAAGGGAAGCGAACCUGCGAAGGGGAGCAAAUCUCAAAAAGGCAAUCGUAGUCCGGAUUGGAGUCUGCAACUCGACUCCAUGAAGUUGGAAUCGCUAGUAAUCGCGGAUCAGAACGCCGCGGUGAAUACGUUCCCGGGCCUUGUACACACCGCCCGUCACACCAUGGGAGUGGGUUGUACCAGAAGUAGGUAGUUUAACCGCAAGGGGAACGCUUACCACGGUAUGAUUCAUGACUGGGGUGAAGUCGUAACAAGGUAACC